GCCAGACUCCUACGGGAGGCAGCAGUGGGGGAUAUUGCACAAUGGGGGGAACCCUGAUGCAGCGACGCCGCGUGGGUGAAGGAGUAUUUCGGUAUGUAAAGCCCUAUCGGCAGGGAAGAAGCAAGACGGUACCUGACUAAGAAGCCCCGGCUAACUACGUGCCAGCAGCCGCGGUAAUACGUAGGGGGCGAGCGUUAUCCGGAUUCACUGGGUGUAAAGGGAGCGUAGACGGCCAUGCAAGCCAGGGGUGAAAGCCCGGGGCCCAACCCCGGGACUGCCCUUGGAACUGCAUGGCUGGAGUGCGGGAGGGGCAGGCGGAAUUCCUGGUGUAGCGGUGAAAUGCGUAGAUAUCAGGAGGAACACCGGCGGCGAAGGCGGCCUGCUGGACCGCGACUGACGUUGAGGCUCGAAAGCGUGGGGAGCAAACAGGAUUAGAUACCCGCGUAGU
Molecule: ribosomal RNA, 448 nt
Filed under: uncultured bacterium
Lineage: Bacteria
Description: bacterial SSU rRNA
Rfam family: Bacterial small subunit ribosomal RNA
Source: RNAcentral